AGUCAAUAAUUGUUGACGGCUGAAAUAUCUUUUGGCGUUGAAGUGAGGGGCUAGCCAUGAGUGUGCAACCCUAGCUAAAUUAAGAAUAUACUUUUGCCUGAAUAGUUAGAGAGACCAAACAAUAUGGAGUAGGUUCGGUGAACUGGAUGAAUAUCUGGGCCUAAUUGUAACCAAAAAUCAGUUUUGCAUAUUGAGAUUGCAUCCUGGUGUCCAUAGCUGCUCCAAUAAGUUGCUAAUAGAAGUAUCUGAAGAAUCAGAAGUUCUUGAAGGUGAUACAAGGUGUGAGUUCGACGAGGUGUGAGAAUGAUGGGUUUGAGCGUAGAUGCUUGGAAAAGAAUUUGAUUGUUAGGAGUUAUUUGGAGAAAGCGAUAAUGUUCACAGCAAAAGGUGAAAAGUAUCUGAAAAGGACUAAAGGAUGAAGCAGAAGUAAUUGAAGCGAUAAAAUAGUUGGAGUCACGCAUUUGUGCUGUCCCCAAGGCUAGAGGAGCGGGUCAAAGUAUUUCGAUACCAGUUUGGUGGAACAGCUAUAAGUGGUACAGAUAGGGUGACCAGGAGUGUUGGACUAAUGGAUGUUGAUAAAAAGAAGAGCAGAUGAUGAAGAUGUGAUGUACUGACUGAGAGACUGGGAGGACGGAAAGAGAUGAGUUGCUAUAUAGCUGUGGUCACAAGUUAUUAGUUGCGGGAAAUAUUGUUAUUGGUCAAUAAUAUUAUUAUUGAAAAGAGCGUUAAAACAUCACCAUAGUGCUUCUGUUCUGAAGCGGUUAGACUACCAUAACAUUAUAGCACUGCCCUUGUCGAAUGAUUUGAUAACGAUGUUGUACAAGUGAGGGAGGUGCAGAACGAAAAUAGUGUUGACUGGAAUAUAUUAAGGCGUCUUAAAUACUUCUGAAAACUGAAACGGUUUACUGUGUAACCGCACGAGCUGGUGAAUAGAUCAAAUCUUAAACCAUUAAUCAAUGUCUUCAUUCUUAACAAAACCACUUUACAUUUUCCGUCUUAAAGUCCCUUUUGUCUCUCCUACCCUACUUCUGAACUUGAAAAAUGACAACUGUCCGAAGCAUAAGACCCACUUCCUUGCCUACACACCACAAUAUAUUUGCUUUGUAGUUAUGGCCAUUGUUCUGAGGGGGUCUUUGUUUUAUAUUUUGGUGAGGUUUCGACUGUUUUUUCUUCUUGGACCAUCCUGAACAUACGUUCAUUAUAUAGUAUUCCCUCUCGUUACAGCAGUGGCUUGCCUUAUUUAGGAGUUCUAUUUACAACAGCGUGGACUAAGUCAAUUAAGAUUUAAUUACUCUUGUUGACAUUAGCAGUGAUGUAUGUCGUUGGGUUAGACAUAACUCUCAAACGACCCAGAAGCCUCUACCUGGUUAAUCAAACUACUAGAAUUAACUGUUAGAUCUCACACAUUAUUAGCAUAUCAAAAAAGGAAGAUUUUAGAAAAUACAGUGUUUUGCAUAUAAGAAAACGUGAUGUUCCUGAUUGGAACACCUUUGAUCCUUGGCCUGCUCGAUCAGGAUUGACCUAUUGCCUUCACACCUACAAUAAAGAUGAAAAUUUACUGCGAAGAAGGAACAAUUGUAGUACAACAUCUGUGACAGCUGUUUCAAUAGUUCAUUUGAGAUUUUUUAAUAGUUACUGUUCUCAAAUUCUAUAUUGUGUGAGUAUCUUUAAAUAUGGGUGAACUCCACCUAGUUGAUUUUAUCCUCACGUACAACACACGAAGUAAAAAAAUUUCCAGAUGUGAUCAAAAGCACCCAAUGCAUUAUGGAACGCAAUGGUAGCACUUUAGCAAGUUGUUGUAGCUCCACCAAUAUUCCUAUUUUAAGACAGUAGGUUAAUUAUAUUCGCCAGGUUUAUGGAGGUCUCAGUGGAACGUAAUUAUACAUAAUGGAAUACUAUUUGAACAAACUGAUUUAUUUAAGUUUUAGCUGAUUUAUUACACUCGAAAUUUCAUUUUUAUUUGUUGGAGAUAAGAAAAAUGUUAUUUUUAUUAGUCUCAAGUCAUUUCUAUAUUUUUUUUCGGUCGUUUUGCUAUUACUGGCAGAACUUUAUUCCCCUCUUCACUUGUCUCUCCUUUCAAUAUAUGUUUUAUUUCGCAAAUCAAAAUGAGGCUCCUUUUUUAAUAACCUGUAAUGGCGGAGGCGGAGUUUCAUGUACACUGUUAUAUGAUAUUUUCAUGUAAGUACUGUUAUCGAUGAUUGCGCUACGUACUUUUAUUAUGAGACUCGGACUGAGGUUUUGCAAUGGUUUCUGUAACACGAAUAUUGAAGUCUAACAAAUCUCAGUUAAAUUACGGCUACGUAACUCACUGAAUUAGGAUGGUGGGCAAAAGGCAAAAAAAUUUAACCUUAACUGGUAUUUCGUCUUGUAUGCUGCCAUUUUGCAUCUUGUACAAAUUUCUACUUUAGUGUGCUGUAUCUGCCAGCCUGCCGACCUCGGUUAAGGAAAAUAUCUUUGUUAAGCCUGAGGUGGUUUUGUUUCCUUCUUUUAUGAAAAACGCUACCGUCUAUUGAUUCAACCUUAUACUUAGUAAAUUAUUAUUGCUGUUGCUGUAGUUGUUGUUGUUGUUGUUGUUGUUGUUGUUGUUGUUGUUGUUGUUGUUGAAUCUGUAAUCACCUCUGAUCGAGCAGAACUGCGACAUUCCAACCAAGAAGCAUUCCAUCGUUUUACGUAUAUAUAUAUAUAUAUAUAUAAAGAGACAGAGAGAGAGGGGGAGAUAGGGAGAGAGAUCCAUACAUCUCUUAAAGCUGGGAACUUUUCAGUACCACCCUGAUAUCUGAUCGAGAAAACAAAACCUGCUAGUCAGCUAAGAGUUACCUCCCUUGUUAUCUUUACUGAGGAGCUCGAAAUGCUUCUGUCAACCCAUGAAGAGCGCUCUGCAAUGGCUACGAUGAACUAAAACUCUUGUUUCUAAAUCCAGUCUUUUUUCUCCGAGGCAAACUUACACUGAAUAGCCUUUACAUGUUCAAACAUGUUCUAAGUUUAUUUCAACUGAUUUAAAGAUUAAACUCACUUUGUAACUGUGUGGUUUGGAGUUCAAUCCCACUGCGUUGGACCUUGGUCCUCUGGCAAUGUUGGAAAUCAAUAUGUGGUGGAGGUGAAUGGAUCUUAUGAAUUAGUCAGAAAAGGGAAGAACAGAGCUCAUGACCGUUUUCAGAAGCUUGUGGAAUAAAAGAAGGAAAUUAUCGUCAGACUCGAAACCUGAACCGAAUGUUUUAUUCUACUAAAGACAACCAGAAGCCAUUUGAUGAUUUUUAAACAGGAUGGCUCACAAAGUCCGUACGUCAUAACAGUUACGUGGAUCUGAUACAUCUGGGUCUAUUACAGAUAUUUUUUCCGAGAGAAGAGACGAAACUCGGAUCUUAAAUCUGAAGAAUUCCUCUUGAAUUCGUCGAUGCUACUACUGCGAAUAGUGAUGAAUUAUACAACCAUUCGGCGGUUACCAUUUACAGUUAGGUGGACUUCAUCACUGAGGGGUCGACGAGAUAAACAAGUCAAUGACAAAACCUCUAGGAGGUGACUACUUGGCCUGUUCGAGAUAGAACCUAAAUCUCCCUCAAAUUUCAACCUAGUAAGUACACUUUGAAUAAUGAACUCUACAACCUGAAAAAAAUGAAUACGGUUUCAAAGCUGUAUCAGGGCUAAUCUUAGAGAUAACAACAACUACAACAAGUGAUGUUAUGCGAAAGUAAUAACUAGUGACCUCUCUCUUGGUUGUCCAUCACGCUAUCCUCUCACAUAAACACGAUGCCUGAAUAAUUGACGAGAUUUCACUUCCUGGCUAGAAACACACCACCAAAUUUUCUUCUCUUUGUUAAUUCCCCCCUCACCCGACUUCAGUUCAGGUACAUUCUUCAGACACUUAGUAAACCAUAGAAAUCAUACUUUCUCAUUUUCUUUACACUAAAUCGAAAUCAAUAUAAGAUUAUUUUUAUUUCUAUAUAAAAAAGGAUUAGUGAACAUUUUCUGUGUAAAAUAAAUACGAAAAUGUAAUAUCACAAAGAUUUUGAACAAUGGUUUGUUUUGUCUUGCGUUUUUUCUUUCAAAACUUUUUGUAUGGACAAUGUAGCGUGGACAAUUUCAUUGUUAAAUGCACUGCGGUGAAUUUCCUUGUUACACAUGGAAACGAAAAAUAUAAGUCAAAAUACGUUUAUAAAAGAAUAAACUCAAAAUUAAUCCAUGUGACACUAUACAAGCAAUAUCAUGGUAAAAUGAAUAAAGGAUGGUUAUCGAGUUUGGUAAAAUGAACGUAAGAUUAUGCUUAACGUAAUUUUGUAUGAGUUA
Octopus bimaculoides (California two-spot octopus) is the source of this 4284-nucleotide long non-coding RNA. RefSeq lists it as uncharacterized. NCBI's taxonomy places the organism in Eukaryota, Metazoa, Mollusca, Cephalopoda, Octopoda, Octopodidae. The record is from RefSeq and is a predicted model, not a curated record.